AAGUUAUUUUUUUUUUCUUUUUAUCAAAUUAUCCCACAUAAUAGAGCUGUGUGAGGUGAUAUAAAAUACCUUAAACUUUUACCUUAAAUUCUUUAAUGAGACUUCACUUGCAACUAACAUGGACAGUAUACUGUGUGGGAAUUAUGUACAUGUCAUUCCAUCAGUGCCAGGUAAAGGUGUGCUUGAGUCGGUGUGCCAAAGAGAGUAGCUGUUAAUGGCGUUUGUAGUGUGGACUGUAUGGAACCGCCUUUCGUAGAGGAACGGGCUACUCUAAUAACAUUAGACCAACGAUUCUUAUGGAUUGCGUUACAAUUAUACCAAUAUUCACGGCAACAGUGACACAUGCUGCUUGUUUCCCGAGAGGACGAACCUCCACCCAAAGUAUAAACAUGUGUCCUAGCAUUUGAAAGCGACUGCAGAAAGCAGGACUUGCUACUAGAAGGUCUAAUAUCGUAAACCAGAAUGUGCUCAAGACACAGUGGCACUCACUCUGUAUAUUCGCAACGAAGAUAUCUGGGCCCUUGCUACAUGAAUAGACUCCUAGUAACGCUACUGCGUUGUUUUUACGCAUGCGUGGCAAACGCACUUCCCUGUCAACCAUUUCUCAGCCCUCUCGACUGACCCGCCUUCAUUACGUAUGAAUGUUUCGCGGGAACAUUGAAGACGUGAAAUAACCUCAUCUGUUCAUGUGAGAAGGUUCUGGAUAUCACUCCAUCUGAGCCCGUAUUGAAGUAAAGUUUUCGUAUCCUGGUUGAACAAAUUUAACUAUGGGCAAACAAACAGUCUUUUUGGCUUUAAUUUCUUUCGUGUUGUUUCACACCGGAAAAUUUCAAACUCCGAAAUCUACUCGGCUAAUCGAAGUACCAGACGGUGAUAAUCUCACUUUUCAGUGUGAAAUCCCCCCGGGAACCAACUUGAAGGACCGCUCUCUGGUUCUGAAACGAGUCGAUGGAAACACAAGUUACACCACACGUGUCAUCUACACCCGUCGAAAUGGAAAGGAAGAUCUUGGUUCACAGCCGGAGCAAUACAGAAACCGGGUAAUCUUCAUCAGUGGAGACCUGAGGAGAGGAUUCAUGACUGUACAGAUCCGAUCAGUCCAGCAGUCUGAUAGCGGAAAGUUCAAAUGGUUUAUCCCAAAAUCACACACCGCCUGUUUUUUUGAUGUUGUUGUGACAGAGAAGCAAAACCGUACCAAUGAGAAUGACACUAGCACAACAGCAACGUUAACAGAGGAAAUGCCAGAUACAGAUCCUGCAACAGAGAACCGUCGUCAUCAUUAUGCCCUCAUUCCCAUCUUUGCUGUUUUCAUAGCUACUGUUUUCCUGAUGCUCUUCAAGAACGGGAUUUGUAAGACAUGCCAAAGGAAAACUGAAAAAACAGACUCUGAGCUGGAAACCCAAGGUAACAAAGCAAAGGAAGGAGAUGAAGAGGAACAGCUCAAGAAACCAUCAGCAGGAGGAACUGAUGGACUGAAAGGAUAAUCUCAUCAUGGCCAGAGAAAAGAAGCUUUUUUUGAAUAUCCACCAUUUGGGCCAUUCAUCUGAUCCUUCGGUCAGUUGCUCAGGUGCAACUAAAUAUUUCCUGGAAACGUAGAAAAAAAGUAAGAUUGCAGUUAACAGAUUGUUUUAUGAAUUAUUUGGAAAAUCACUUAAUAGUAGGGCUGCCACGAUCAGUCAACUAGUCACGAUUACGUCGACUAUCAGAAUCAUCGACGACUAAUUUAAUAGUCGACGCCUCAUUUGAAGCUUUGUAAGAUCCCAAAAGACGCAGGAAUAAGUAGUAGGAUUUAAGAGUGUAAUAACGGCCUGAAACAGAAGAUGGCAGCACUGCAUGUACAAGGAUGCCAGCUGCCAUUAAAGAAGCAGUGUCCGGCAUCUUAGCUGUGUCCAAAUUCAGGAACCGCAUCCUCCUGUGCCCGCAUUUGUAGGCUGAUUACGUUACAGCCACACGGCAAAGACUGUCCAAAUUCGAAGACUCCGAAAAAUGCGGCCCAGAAAUGCGUCCUUCAUUUCCCCCUUCAGAAGGAUGUGUCGGGAUGGGUCAUGGCCCAACCUAUCCCAGAAUUCAUAGCGCGGCCCUGCUCAGUUUCCAACAAUGGCAGCAGCUAGUUAGUUUUAAUAUUACUCUUAUUAUUCUUUCUGGGUCACAAAAUAAACGUUUAACAUAUUUUCAGGUGAGAAUGUAGCUGUGUAAACUUCAAAUAUCUGCUCAGUUUAUCAAGACACCACAUAUUUUCAAAAGCGCUCCAACGUUUUCGGAGACGUCUGUUACCCACCAGCUCGAUAGCUAGCCGGGGUUGAAGGCUCACUAGAGCCGUUGAGAACACCGGACUCCCAGCAAAUCAUUUUCAAACCCACCGCCAUCUUUCGCUACUCAGGUUAAACAUGAUAUAUAAGUCACUUAGAUAACUUAAAAAUGUUAUUGUUUGGCUUUUUUUUUAUUAUUUUAUUUCUUCCUGAGUAAAUCGGUUUGGCUGAGAUUAAAGUUAUAGUUUUUACACAGCUGAAUAAACGUCAAGCAGACAACUGAUUAUCAGAAGUGUGAGAUGCUCGAGAAUAUACUCCGGUGUCCUGUUAUAUUUUAGACAGCAAGGAGCAGACGGCUGAGUUUAUUUAACUCCACCAAAACAAUCUGCAAAUUUCAUUAAAAUUUAAUAAACGAUCAUCUUGUCUUUAUUUUUAGUUAGCACAUAUCUUAAACACUUAAAGCUGUAAGCUAAUGAUAGUUAUAUAAGCGCAGAUGGAUGCUGGUGCAAUAAGAUGUACGUUUUACGUCCAAUGGAUGCAUGAUCUGAUUAGUCGACUAAUCGCAAAAAUAAUCGGUGACUAGUCGACUAUCAAAAUAAUCGUUUGUGGCAGCCCUACUUAAUAGCCCUUUGUAGCUGUCCAGGGCUGUGUUAAAAAAAAAAAAAAAGAAAAGCAGGGAUUUAAAAGCCUUCUAAGCCCAUGAAAGUGUCCACGAUCCCAUUAACCAUUUUAAAAUCCUGGAAGAAUUGCAACCAGAUAAACUAGAGCAAUAAUUUUUUGCAUAUUAAAACAGAGGAGUUGUACUUCCAUAUCAUGUAUUUAACUUGUCCCAGGUUGCAGUUUCCUUCCACUAAUGGCUUUGCAAAAAGUGCAAGAAACAACAAAAAAAUUAUUAUUAUCCAGGCAAACGUUUUGCCGAUGUGAUCAGCUGUUCACAGCACUUCCUACGUUUGAAUAAACUUUAUCAUGUUGUCAGCAGGAGCUAUCACAUGUCGCCAUUACCUCAUUUUGUGGGAAAUGUAGUUUUUUUGUUUUGUUUUUUAGAAAGUUCACUCAGCCUAUUGAAAGUCAUCUUUGACUUUCUGUAUAGUUUCUGUGACACUUAGAACUUAAAUUGCACAGUUAGAAAUAGUUUAUUUUUGAGGCACAUGCUGUUGCAGAUUGUGCACAAGAUCUAUUUUUGUUUUUGCAGCAGUUUAUAAAAAUUAGUGUUUUUUAGAAAUGAAAUUGAGGAUACAAAAUAAAUUUCCUGUGGUUCGGAACUAUUUGCAACUACUUUGCAUUUACAGUUUUCACACCUCUGACACUUGUUUUAUUAAAAAAAUGUGUUAAAAAAAAAUAUAAUUUUUAAUUUAUUUGUAGUUUUUUGCACUUUUUAGCAAUUUAUGUCAUUACUAUGGAGUUAAUGCAUACAUAUUAUUAAAAUUUGCGAUAGAGUGAUUGUAAUAUAUGUAUUGUAUGUAUAGCAACUUGAAAUGCUCCAAAUAAUGACACUAUAGCAUAUAAAAAUGUAAAGACUUGUUCUAUGAUGGGCUUAAAGGGUUAAGCAAAACUUAUCUUUCACUAAUUUUGUCAGUCUAGCUAGCAAAAAAAACCCCUGAUGGCUCAUUUUGCAGUUGCAUUUUAAACCCCUGUCAUGUGUUUGCGUAUUAAAUUAUCAUACCAUAAUUUAUUUAUAUAGCACUUUAAAAACAACACAUGGCCGACCAAAGGCCAGUAAAUAAAAAUGAGUUUUUAAUCUGGAUUCAAAAGCCAGCACUGAUGUAGAUUGCCUAAUGUGAAGAGGAAGCUCGUUCCAAAGCUUUGGGGCCACAAUAGAGAACACUCGGUCUCCUCUAAGUUUCAUCCGUGAUUUAGGGACUGAGAGCAACACCUGCUUAGCUGACUGGAGUGAAUGAGGGGGAGCAUAGGGCUUCAGCAAAUCAGACAAAUAUUCAGGUACUAGACCAUUUAAGGAUUUAAAAACCAGUAAAAGGAUUUAAAAGUUGAUCCUAAAUUUAAUUGGAAGCCAGUGUACGGAGGCCAGAACCGGAGUAAUAUGCUUAAAUUUUCUUUUGCCAGUUAAAAACCGUGCCGCAGCAUUCUGCACCAGUUCCAGGCAUGACAGAGUGCUCUGGCCAACCCCUAUUAACCCAAGCGUGAGGUUAUGAUCGUCUCAAAGAGUAUACUUAUACACUUAUACUGACAGUCAUUAAGCUUUCACAAGCUCUGAAUCAUGCUCCUGCCUACAUCUCUGAUCUUUUACAAUCGCACGCUCCCUCUCGCAGCCUGAGAUCCUCUAAUCAAAAGCUGUUGGUCGCCCUACAAACACAUUUUAAGACCAGAGGAGAUGUUUUAGAGCGGUGGCCCCCAGGUUGUGGAGUGCUUUGCCUCCAUCAUUACAUUGCCUUGAUUGAAUUUAUUCUUUUAAACAGCAGCUUAAGACUCUUUUAUUUAGAUUGGCUUUUAACUAGAAUUGUGCAGUUUGUUCGAUUGUGCUGUUUUAUGUAUAUCUGUUUUAUAUUAUUGUGAAGCACUUUGUGGUUCUUAUUCUGUUAAGAGUGCUAUAUAAAUAAAGUAUCUAUAAUUAAUUGUGUUGAAUGUUUGCUCAGUUGUGUUGAAAUGUUAUUUUGCUACAAUUGUGCUACACGUGUUUGAAAAACGUAAUUGUUUGUGUGUGUGGGGGGGGCUAAGUAUUAUGUAAGACCCUCCCCGUUUUACCUACCUUACCUUCAAGUCAGUCUGACUGGAUUUCAAAGUAAAAGCCCUUGGAAAUGUCUUUGGUGCUCCAAAAUGUCAUCAGGUUUGUUUACUUAUUGUAUUUCUUUUUUUAAUUCUGAAUUACGACAUAUGGAAACAUUGAGUUACUAUCAACUUCAACUUCAUAGUAUCUCACCCUACAGUUACUUGGCCACUCUAAAUUAACUCUUCCAUUGUGAAAUAUAAAAUCAGCCUUUUGAAAUGCACAGUGGGAGGAGAAGUGAUCUACUUCUGAAUAAGAACAAGACCAGAGAAAGUGAGUUCAGUUUGAGGACGGCUAUAAGACGGUCCAUCCUGGGACAGUAUGUUGAUCUGGUGGAGUACAGGUACCUGGAUGUGCGCACUGACAACUAGCUGAAGCAGAAGACCAACACAGAGCCUCCACACAAAAAAAAAGGGGAUGAGCGGCCUCUAUUUUGUGAAAAAGUAGCGACCCUGUAAUGUGCAGCAAAAUUAUAGAGAUGUUCUUUCCCUCAGUUCAAAUGAGCACGGUGCUGAGGUCUGCUGGUGACACCAGAAAGAAUGAAUAAACCAACCAGGAAGGCUCCUCUGUGGAGGAUUUUGAAGCUGUGUUGGUGAGAUGGUGAAAAAGACACUUUUUUGUCUUUUUUUAUAACUUUGCUACUAGAAGGAUAUAAUAAUCUGUCACGCGAGUAAUCAUUGUAGCCGAGAUUUGUACCUUUCAGAUUAGGCAAAAGCUUUUAAGUGAAUAGGAUUUCCGGAUGGUAAGUAAGUCUGCUAUGAGAUGUCCAGCCUAGUGUACUAUUAGUAUACUACUUUUCCAGAAUCACUCUGACACAGGAUAUUCCGAGUUUUGAGAGUCCUAGAGAUUUGUUGGAUGUUGAACACUUUCUGAUAGAAAAAUGACCAACGUAACGUAAUGCUAUCCAGUGGAAGUAUCUGGUCAGACACCCUGUUUCUGACGUCUUAUUCCAGGAACUUCAUUUAGUUUCAAUUUAGAAGCAGACUAUAUGUUAUAGUGAGUCUUGCAGUUUAACUGAACUUUGUUGGACUCUUGCCGAGUAAGGUGACUGGUCGUCGUCGUCGUCCCCCCACCAUUAGGGAUAUUAUUUGAAUCGUAGUUCUUAUGCUUAGUAAUACUUGAUAUACACACAAGACGCAAAACAAUGUGGGAGUUUGCAACGUGAGUAAAAGUUGAAAAAAAAAAAAAAAACCGUGUGCGAUCAGCGUCUAAAUAUAGCAAUGCAAUUUUACUGAUGCUUUAUCCUGAGGUUUGUAGCUGAUAUAAAAAGGAGAAUUUUAGAGCAUUUAAAACAAAUUCUUUUGAGCAGUGCAAUAAGGGAAUUUCUGAUGAUUCAUUGCAUUCCCUGUAAACUGACAUUUUUCCUAUAAAGAACAUUUAAUCUGAAAAACAAAAACGUGCCUAAACAGUGGCAUUUAGUGACAUUUAA
Molecule: long non-coding RNA, 6400 nt
Filed under: Oreochromis niloticus (Nile tilapia)
Lineage: Eukaryota; Metazoa; Chordata; Actinopteri; Cichliformes; Cichlidae
Description: lncRNA (ENSONIG00000024892.2)
Source: RNAcentral